RNAcentral lists this ribosomal RNA (206 nucleotides) under uncultured bacterium. RNAcentral describes it as "partial 16S ribosomal RNA". It matches the Rfam family "Bacterial small subunit ribosomal RNA", at positions 568 to 774 of the family's 1533-position model. The record is from RNAcentral.
AGCGCAGGUGGUUUAUUAAGUCAGAGGUGAAAGGCUACGGCUCAACCGUAGUAAGCCUUUGAAACUGGGAAACUUGAGUGCAGGAGAGGAGAGUGGAAUUCCUAGUGUAGCGGUGAAAUGCGUAGAUAUUAGGAGGAACACCAGUUGCGAAGGCGGCUCUCUGGACUGUAACUGACACUGAGGCACGAAAGCGUGGGGAGCAAACA